CUUCCCUCAGGGUAGCUGGCACUCGCACAUUUUCAAUCCAUCCAGUUUUAUUCAGUAAAGCCAAUGAUUAGAGGCCUUGGGGCUGAAAUGAUCUCAUUCUCAACCUAUUCUCAGACUUAAAAGGGUAAGAAACCCGGCUCCCUGGCGUGGAAUGUGAGUGCCUAGGGGGCCACAUUUGGUAAGCAAAAGCUGCCCUGCCAGAUGG
RNAcentral lists this non-coding RNA (205 nucleotides) under Loxodonta africana (African savanna elephant). RNAcentral describes it as "Eukaryotic large subunit ribosomal RNA". It matches the Rfam family "Eukaryotic large subunit ribosomal RNA", at positions 967 to 1166 of the family's 3401-position model. Lineage: Eukaryota; Metazoa; Chordata; Mammalia; Proboscidea; Elephantidae. The record is from Rfam by way of RNAcentral.